AUUGAACGCUGGCGGCGUGCCUAACACAUGCAAGUCGAGCGGUAACAGGUGUAGCAAUACAUGCUGACGAGCGGCGGACGGGUGAGUAACGCUUGGGAAUCUGCCUAUUAGUGGGGGACAACCCGGGGAAACUCGGGCUAAUACCGCAUACGCUCUACGGAGGAAAGCCGGGGACCGCAAGGCCUGGCGCUAAUAGAUGAGCCCAAGUCGGAUUAGCUAGUUGGUAGGGUAAGGCCUACCAAGGCGACGAUCCGUAACUGGUCUGAGAGGACGACCAGUCACACCGGAACUGAGACACGGUCCGGACUCCUACGGGAGGCAGCAGUGGGGAAUAUUGGACAAUGGGCGAAAGCCUGAUCCAGCGACGCCGCGUGGGUGAAGAAGGCCUGUGGGUUGUAAAGCCCUUUCAGUGGGGAAGAAAAGCCUCGACCUAACACGUCGGGGUCUUGACGUAACCCAUAGAAGAAGCACCGGCUAACUCUGUGCCAGCCGCCGCUGUAAU
This 502-nucleotide ribosomal RNA is filed under the name uncultured bacterium. RNAcentral's name for it is "bacterial SSU rRNA". It matches the Rfam family "Bacterial small subunit ribosomal RNA", at positions 29 to 524 of the family's 1533-position model. The record is from RNAcentral.